GCAUAUCAAUAAGCGGAGGAAAAGAAACCAACAGGGAUUGCCCUAGUAACGGCGAGUGAAGCGGCAACAGCUCAAAUUUGAAAUCUGGCUCUUUCAGAGUCCGAGUUGUAAUUUGCAGAGGGCGCUUUGGCUUUGGCAGCGGUCCAAGUUCCUUGGAACAGGACGUCACAGAGGGUGAGAAUCCCGUACGUGGUCGCUAGCUAUUGCCGUGUAAAGCCCCUUCGACGAGUCGAGUUGUUUGGGAAUGCAGCUCUAAAUGGGAGGUAAAUUUCUUCUAAAGCUAAAUAUUGGCCAGAGACCGAUAGCGCACAAGUAGAGUGAUCGAAAGAUGAAAAGCACUUUGGAAAGAGAGUCAAACAGCACGUGAAAUUGUUGAAAGGGAAGCGCUUGCAGCCAGACUUGCUUGCAGUUGCUCAUCCGGGCUUUUGCCCGGUGCACUCUUCUGUAGGCAGGCCAGCAUCAGUUUGGGCGGUGGGAUAAAGGUCUCUGUCACGUACCUCUCUUCGGGGAGGCCUUAUAGGGGAGACGACAUACCACCAGCCUAGACUGAGGUCCGCGCAUCUGCUAGGAUGCUGGCGUAAUGGCUGUAAGCGGCCCGUCUUGAAACACGGACCAAGGAGUCUAACAUCUAUGCGAGUGUUUGGGUGUCAAGCCCGAGCGCGUAAUGAAAGUGAACGGAGGUGGGAACCCGCAAGGGUGCACCAUCGACCGAUCCUGAAGUUUACGGAAGGAUUUGAGUAAGAGCAUGGCUGUUGGGACCCGAA
This 764-nucleotide ribosomal RNA is filed under the name Bipolaris cynodontis. RNAcentral's name for it is "LSU rRNA". It matches the Rfam family "Eukaryotic large subunit ribosomal RNA", at positions 38 to 820 of the family's 3401-position model. The record is from RNAcentral. Lineage: Eukaryota; Fungi; Ascomycota; Dothideomycetes; Pleosporales; Pleosporaceae.